AGGCCUGAGGAAAGUAGCCGAUUUUUCCAGGCUAUCGAGAUUUUCCAGUGACUGCACGUCAGCAAUAGGUAUCAUGUAAAAGAAUACCAGAGCGAACACAGAUAAUGAUAUAAGCAGUUUUCUGAUGAUGAGAGAAACAAAUGGUAUAGCUAGAUUCUUCCAGUAAACAUCGCGUGGCUCUUGUGCCCAGUAAGUUAACUAGCGUGUUGGGUUCCUACUUUGCUGAGUUUGAGCACAAAUAGCAGCCAGCCCAUCUCGAGUCAAAUGAAACAAAUGCUACAGGCAUGAUAGACUUUGGAU
Asparagus officinalis (garden asparagus) is the source of this 300-nucleotide long non-coding RNA. RefSeq lists it as uncharacterized. The transcript is spliced from 2 exons. The record is from RefSeq and is a predicted model, not a curated record. Lineage: Eukaryota; Viridiplantae; Streptophyta; Magnoliopsida; Asparagales; Asparagaceae.